This is a non-coding RNA of Prunus avium (sweet cherry), 140 nucleotides long. The record is from RefSeq and is a predicted model, not a curated record. NCBI's taxonomy places the organism in Eukaryota, Viridiplantae, Streptophyta, Magnoliopsida, Rosales, Rosaceae.
UUUUUUUUUGUCUGCUAGAGAAGACGAACAGCUCUUCGUGAAGAUAAACAGCUCUUCAACAAGUAGUAAUUUAAUGGGGGAUUCACAACAAGGAAAUAACAAAGGAAAGGGCAAAGAGAAAGAGAACUAUGAAUCUUGGA